GGGCCCGCACAAGCGGUGGAGCAUGUGGUUUAAUUCGAUGAUACGCGAGGAACCUUACCAGGGCUUAAAUGUAAGUUGCAUUAGCUAGAGAUAGCUAUUUCUUCGGACUACUUACAAGGUGCUGCAUGGUUGUCGUCAGCUCGUGCCGUGAGGUGUCAGGUUAAGUCCUAUAACGAGCGCAACCCCUGUCGUUAGUUGCCAGCAUGUAAAGAUGGGGACUCUAGCGAGACUGCCGGUGCAAACCGAGAGGAAGGUGGGGAUGACGUCAAAUCAUCACGGCCCUUACGUCCUGGGCUACACACGUGCUACAAUGGUAUGGACAAUGAGCAGCCACUAUGCGAAUAGGAGCGAAUCUAUAAACCAUAUCACAGUUCGGAUCGGAGUCUGCAACUCGACUCCGUGAAGCUGGAAUC
Molecule: ribosomal RNA, 413 nt
Filed under: uncultured bacterium
Lineage: Bacteria
Description: bacterial SSU rRNA
Rfam family: Bacterial small subunit ribosomal RNA
Source: RNAcentral